UACGGGGGGGGCAAGCGUUGUUCGGAAUUACUGGGCGUAAAGGGCGCGUAGGCGGUUGGAUAAGUCAGCUGUGAAAACCACGGGCUUAACUCGUGGCCUGCAGUUGAGACUGUCUGGCUUGAGUGUGGGAGAGGAGAGUGGAAUUCCUGGUGUAGCGGUGAAAUGCGUAGAUAUCAGGAGGAACACCGGUGGCGAAGGCGGCUCUCUGGACCACAACUGACGCUGAUGCACGAAAGCUAGGGGAGCAAACAGG
This 253-nucleotide ribosomal RNA is filed under the name uncultured bacterium. Its description in RNAcentral is "partial 16S ribosomal RNA". It matches the Rfam family "Bacterial small subunit ribosomal RNA", at positions 524 to 776 of the family's 1533-position model. The record is from RNAcentral.